This 83-nucleotide transfer RNA is filed under the name Scleroderma citrinum Foug A. It matches the Rfam family "tRNA". From Rfam's summary of the family: Transfer RNA (tRNA) molecules are approximately 80 nucleotides in length. Their secondary structure includes four short double-helical elements and three loops (D, anti-codon, and T loops). The record is from Rfam by way of RNAcentral. Lineage: Eukaryota; Fungi; Basidiomycota; Agaricomycetes; Boletales; Sclerodermataceae.
GGGCCGUUAGCGCAGUGGUAGCGCGUAUGCUUUGCACUCGCAGCAGUUGUAUAAGGUCCAGGGUUCAAUCCCCUGACGGUCCA